GUACUGUGAAGCAUCCUGUUAAGUCAGGCAACGAGCGAGACCCACGCCAACAGUUGCCAGCAUGUCCUCCGGGAUGAUGGGGACACUGUUGGGACGCCUCUGCUAAAGAGGAGGAAGGAAUGGGCAACGGUAGGUCAGCAUGCCCCGAAUUAUCCGGGCUACACGCGGGCUACAAUGGUCAGGACAAUGGGUAUCGACACCGAGAGGUGGAGGCAAUCUCCUAAACCUGUCCUUAGUUCGGAUUGUGGGCUGCAACUCGCCCACAUGAAGCUGGAAUCCGUAGUAAUCGCGUUUCAAAAUAGCGCGGUGAAUAUGUCCCUGCUCCUU
Molecule: ribosomal RNA, 327 nt
Filed under: uncultured Methanolinea sp.
Lineage: Archaea; Methanobacteriati; Methanobacteriota; Methanomicrobia; Methanomicrobiales; Methanoregulaceae
Description: bacterial SSU rRNA
Rfam family: Archaeal small subunit ribosomal RNA
Source: RNAcentral